UACGUAGGGGGCAAGCGUUGUCCGGAUUUAUUGGGCGUAAAGAGCGUGUAGGCGGCCAGGUAGGUCUGCUGUGAAAACUCGAGGCUCAACCUCGAGACGUCGGCGGAAACCAUCUGGCUAGAGUCCGGAAGAGGAGAGUGGAAUUCCUGGUGUAGCGGUGAAAUGCGCAGAUAUCAGGAGGAAUACCGGUGGCGAAGGCGGCAUCCUGGACCGAGAUUGACACUGAUGAGCGAAAGCUAGGGGAGCAAACGGG
This 253-nucleotide ribosomal RNA is filed under the name uncultured bacterium. RNAcentral's name for it is "partial 16S ribosomal RNA". It matches the Rfam family "Bacterial small subunit ribosomal RNA", at positions 524 to 776 of the family's 1533-position model. The record is from RNAcentral.